Molecule: ribosomal RNA, 1578 nt
Filed under: uncultured bacterium
Lineage: Bacteria
Description: bacterial SSU rRNA
Rfam family: Bacterial small subunit ribosomal RNA
Source: RNAcentral
AACUCAGGAUCACUCGUGUUACACUGCAAUCGCGUGUCGCCCUUAGAGUUUGAUCCUGGCUCAGGACGAACGCUGGCGGCGCGCUUAACACAUGCAAGUCGAGCGAGAACCAGGACUUCGGUCCUGGGGACAGCGGCGAACGGGUGAGUAACACGUGAGUAAUCCACCCUCGGUACCGGAAUAGCCCGGGGAAACCCGGAUUAAUGCCGGAUGGCCCAACAGCUCUUCGGGGCGGUUGGAAAAGAUAGCUUCGGCCUUCGACCGAGGACGAGCUCGCGGCGGAUUAGCUUGUUGGUGGGGUAAUGGCCUACCAAGGCGACGAUCCGUAGCUGGUCUGAGAGGACGAUCAGCCACACUGGGACUGAGACACGGCCCAGACUCCUACGGGAGGCAGCAGUGGGGAAUCUUGCGCAAUGGGCGAAAGCCUGACGCAGCGACGCCGCGUGCGGGAAGAAGGCCUUAGGGUUGUAAACCGCUUUCAGGAGGGACGAAGCCACUCGGGUUAAUAGCCCAGAGGGUGACGGUACCUUCAGAAGAAGCCCCGGCUAACUACGUGCCAGCAGCCGCGGUAAUACGUAGGGGGCAAGCGUUGUCCGGAUUUAUUGGGCGUAAAGAGCGUGUAGGCGGUUUGGUAGGUCUGCUGUGAAAACUCGAGGCUCAACCUCGAGACGCCGGCGGAAACCCCCAAGCUAGAGUCCGGAAGAGGAGAGUGGAAUUCCUGGUGUAGCGGUGAAAUGCGCAGAUAUCAGGAAGAACACCCGUGGCGAAGGCGGCUCUCUGGGACGGUACUGACGCUGAGACGCGAAAGCGUGGGGAGCGAACAGGAUUAGAUACCCUGGUAGUCCACGCCGUAAACGAUGAGUGCUAGGUGUGGGGGGUGUCGACUCCCCCCGUGCCGAAGCUAACGCAUUAAGCACUCCGCCUGGGGAGUACGGCCGCAAGGCUAAAACUCAAAGGAAUUGACGGGGCCCGCACAAGCAGCGGAGCAUGUGGUUUAAUUCGACGCAACGCGAAGAACCUUACCUGGGCUUGACAUGCACGGGAAUGUCGUAGAAAUACGGCAGCCCUUCGGGGCUCGUGCACAGGUGGUGCAUGGCUGUCGUCAGCUCGUGUCGUGAGAUGUUGGGUUAAGUCCCGCAACGAGCGCAACCCCUGUCCUUAGUUGCCAGCGAGUAAUGUCGGGGACUCUAGGGAGACUGCCGGUGACAAAUCGGAGGAAGGUGGGGAUGACGUCAAGUCAUCAUGCCCCUUAUGUCCAGGGCUACACACGUGCUACAUUGGCCAGUACAAAGGGCUGCAAACCCGCGAGGGGGAGCGAAUCCCAAAAAGCCGGUCCCGGUUCGGAUUGGAGGCUGAAACUCGCCUCCAUGAAGGCGGAGUUGCUAGUAAUCGCGGAUCAGCAAUGCCGCGGUGAAUACGUUCCCGGGCCUUGUACACACCGCCCGUCACACCACGAAAGUUGGCAAUACCCGAAGCCGGUGGCCUAACCUCUUUGGAGGAGGGAGCCGUCGAAGGUAGGGUCGAUGAUUGGGGUGAAGUCGUAACAAGGUAACCAAGGGCGACACGCGAUUGCGAGUC